RNAcentral lists this ribosomal RNA (1314 nucleotides) under unidentified marine bacterioplankton. Its description in RNAcentral is "bacterial SSU rRNA". It matches the Rfam family "Bacterial small subunit ribosomal RNA", at positions 9 to 1371 of the family's 1533-position model. The record is from RNAcentral.
GAGUUUGAUCAUGGCUCAGGAUGAACGCUGGCGGCGUGCUUAACACAUGCAAGUCGAACGAACCUUCGGGUGAGUGGCGGACGGGUGAGUAACGCGUGGGAAUCUGCCCUCAGGAGGGGGAUAACGGCUGGAAACGGCCGCUAAUACCCCAUAUGCCGAGAGGUGAAAUGAAUUUCGCCUGAGGAUGAGCCCGCGUCUGAUUAGCUAGUUGGUGAGGUAAGAGCUCACCAAGGCAUCGAUCAGUAGCUGGUCUGAGAGGAUGAUCAGCCACACUGGGACUGAGACACGGCCCAGACUCCUACGGGAGGCAGCAGUGGGGAAUUUUCCGCAAUGGGCGAAAGCCUGACGGAGCAACGCCGCGUGAGGGAUGAAGGCCUCUGGGCUGUAAACCUCUUUUCUCAAGGAAGAAGAUCUGACGGUACUUGAGGAAUAAGCCACGGCUAAUUCCGUGCCAGCAGCCGCGGUAAUACGGGAGUGGCAAGCGUUAUCCGGAAUUAUUGGGCGUAAAGCGUCCGCAGGCGGCCCUUCAAGUCUGCUGUUAAAACGUGGAGCUUAACUCCAUCAUGGCAGUGGAAACUGUUGGGCUUGAGUGUGGUAGGGGCAGAGGGAAUUCCCGGUGUAGCGGUGAAAUGCGUAGAUAUCGGGAAGAACACCAGUGGCGAAGGCGCUCUGCUGGGCCAUAACUGACGCUCAUGGACGAAAGCCAGGGGAGCGAAAGGGAUUAGAUACCCCUGUAGUCCUGGCCGUAAACGAUGAACACUAGGUGUCGGGGGAAUCGACCCCCUCGGUGUCGUAGCCAACGCGUUAAGUGUUCCGCCUGGGGAGUACGCACGCAAGUGUGAAACUCAAAGGAAUUGACGGGGGCCCGCACAAGCGGUGGAGUAUGUGGUUUAAUUCGAUGCAACGCGAAGAACCUUACCAGGGUUUGACAUCCUGCGAACCUCUUGGAAACGAGAGGGUGCCUUCGGGAACGCAGUGACAGGUGGUGCAUGGCUGUCGUCAGCUCGUGUCGUGAGAUGUUGGGUUAAGUCCCGCAACGAGCGCAACCCACGUCUUUAGUUGCCAGCAUUUAGUUGGGCACUCUAGAGAGACCGCCGGUGAUAAACCGGAGGAAGGUGUGGAUGACGUCAAGUCAUCAUGCCCCUUACAUCCUGGGCUACACACGUACUACAAUGCUACGGACAAAGAGCAGCAAGUUCGCGAGGACAAGCAAAUCUCAUAAACCGUGGCUCAGUUCAGAUCGUAGGCUGCAACUCGCCUACGUGAAGGAGGAAUCGCUAGUAAUCGCAGGUCAGCAUACUGCGGUGAAUACGU